This 1262-nucleotide long non-coding RNA is filed under the name Equus caballus (horse). RNAcentral describes it as "lncRNA (ENSECAG00000030744.2)". Lineage: Eukaryota; Metazoa; Chordata; Mammalia; Perissodactyla; Equidae. The record is from RNAcentral.
CGGGUCUCCUCGCGUGCAGCGCCUCCAGCAGCCACGCUCUUGGCCACAACCGCAGCGUUGGAACUGCGCGAGGGGGGAUGAGGGGUCCAACCUAGGAAGCAGCGCCAACCGGGCUCCCCGGGCUGGGAGGCCCCGAGCCGAGGGCGCCACCUGUGGGAUCACGCCCCUCUAGCCGUGUGCUCAGGGCAUGACAUGAGGGUAGGCAGCCUUGGCCGGGUUGCCACUAGGAUUCAGACCCGGUCUCGCUGACAUCAGAGAUUGCCGGACCCUGAUACCCUGGGUGGGACUUCCGCAUCCUGGGUUUUCCCAUCGCUAGGAAUGUUUUACUGGUAACAAUAGUUGAGUUGAGAAGAUCCAUGCUCAUCCUGCGCGUUUCAGCACCAUUCGGCUGCUAGGUGACUUACCAAGCAUUGCCUGGGAGAGUCGUCUAUCAUUUUAAGUAAACGCCUUGGGAAAAGAAGUACCAUUCAUUAUCUAUAAUUUAUAUACCAUAUCUUAAUUAAAAUGCAAAGAAGAUAUGCCUUAAGAGUGGAGACCAGAGCAUUAGGGGCUGGAGAGUGGUGAUGGCAAUGUGUGUGAGAAGGUACAGGCCUGUCACUGACCACCCACUGACCUACCAGCUGCGCAAAUACUUCUUGGCUUUUUUCACUGUGCACUGGGGAUUCUCUGUGAAUGUUUGUUUAUCAGAGAGGCGGGCUUACAACGUGUUGGUUACAUCCCUACAUUUGUUAUGAUAAUUUACGCAUUUUGGUCAGCACCAUAUUACAUCACCUCGGGGGCCAUCAGCGUUGCAGCACAGAGGAAGGGUUCACAAUAUCAGUGUGUUUCUGGCAUUGUUAUGAAUAUCUUAAGUGCCUGCUUUGCUGUACUUGGUGCAGUUGCCUUAAUCAUUGCGUGUGCAAGUUUUCAGUCAGAAGAAGAUUACACUUGGACACAGUUGGCUGGUACUAUGCUUUUACACUAUUUACUCUUCAUUGCUGUCUCAGAACUGAUCAUUGCAAGUAUAACUAUCCACUGGAUUGUGCAAGCAUUGCAGUAUCAAGAAUACGGCGAUGAGAGUUCCUCACUAUCAGAAUUCUCCAUCUCUUCAUAAUUUGCAAAGAACCGGUGUGACUCUAGUCAAGAGCAAAAGAUGAAUCGUGAAUUAGUGAAGAACUCCAUAAUUUUUUUCAAGAGGCCUGAUGGAGAAUGCAUUUUAAUGAAGUCCUUUCUAGUACUCCUUUUUCCUACUUCUUCAAUAAAGGAUGCAAUUUGAUCACAAG